This 278-nucleotide ribosomal RNA is filed under the name uncultured bacterium. RNAcentral describes it as "partial 16S ribosomal RNA". It matches the Rfam family "Bacterial small subunit ribosomal RNA", at positions 30 to 303 of the family's 1533-position model. The record is from RNAcentral.
AUUGAACGCUAGCGGCAGGCUUAACACAUGCAAGUCGAGGGGCAGCACGAUGUAGCAAUACAUUGGUGGCGACCGGCGCACGGGUGCGUAACACGUAUGGAACUUGCCCUUUACUGGAGGAUAGCCCGGAGAAAUCCGGAUUAAUACUCCAUAACAGUCGAGGUGGCAUCACCUUGGCUUGAAAGCUCCGGCGGUAAAGGAUGGCCAUGCGCACGAUUAGCUAGUUGGUGAGGUAACGGCUCACCAAGGCUACGAUCGUUAGGGGCCUGAGAGGGUUA